CCUGUAGAGAGUCCCAUCCUGACAUAGUUCUUAUCCUGAUGUGCUGGAGUUUUCAGAGAGAGAGAGAGUCUGCUGGUCUUGAAUCACCGGCGAGGGUAGGCAGCACCCCCAGUGGUGCCCACAUCAGAAACAUGC
This is a small nucleolar RNA of Lynx canadensis (Canada lynx), 135 nucleotides long. Ensembl annotates it as small nucleolar RNA SNORA3/SNORA45 family. Lineage: Eukaryota; Metazoa; Chordata; Mammalia; Carnivora; Felidae. The record is from Ensembl.